RNAcentral lists this ribosomal RNA (244 nucleotides) under uncultured bacterium. RNAcentral describes it as "partial small subunit ribosomal RNA". It matches the Rfam family "Bacterial small subunit ribosomal RNA", at positions 26 to 285 of the family's 1533-position model. The record is from RNAcentral.
AGAAUCAACGCUGGCGGCGUGCCUAACACAUGCAAGUCGCACGAGAAAGGGUAGCAAUACCUGAGUAAAGUGGCGCACGGGUGAGUAACACGUGAAUUAUCUACCUCCGAGUGGGGAAUAACUGAGAGAAAUCUUAGCUAAUACCGCAUAACACUUACGAGUCAAAGCAGCAAUGCGCUUGGAGAGGAGUUCGCGGCCGAUUAGUUAGUUGGCGGGGUAAUGGCCCACAAGACGAUGAUCGGUA